GAUGAACGCUGGCGGCGUGCCUAAUACAUGCAAGUCGAGCGAACAGACGAGGAGCUUGCUCCUCUAACGUUAGCGGCGGACGGGUGAGUAACACGUGGAUAACCUACCUAUAAGACUGGGAUAACUUCGGGAAACCGGAGCUAAUACCGGAUAAUAUAUUGAACCGCAUGGUUCAAUAGUGAAAGACGGUUUUGCUGUCACUUAUAGAUGGAUCCGCGCCGCAUUAGCUAGUUGGUAAGGUGACGGCUUACCAAGGCGACGAUGCGUAGCCGACCUGAGAGGGUGAUCGGCCACACUGGAACUGAGACACGGUCCAGACUCCUACGGGAGGCAGCAGUAGGGAAUCUUCCGCAAUGGGCGAAAGCUUGACGGAGCAACGCCGCGUGAGUGAUGAAGGUCUUCGGAUCGUAAAACUCUGUUAUUAGGGAAGAACAAAUGUGUAAGUAACUAUGCACGUCUUGACGGUACCUAAUCAGAAAGCCACGGCUAACUACGUG
Molecule: ribosomal RNA, 497 nt
Filed under: uncultured bacterium
Lineage: Bacteria
Description: partial 16S ribosomal RNA
Rfam family: Bacterial small subunit ribosomal RNA
Source: RNAcentral